GAACGAGGAUAUACCCUUCGGGGUAUAAACCGAGUGGCGCAAGGGUGAGUAAUGCAUAGAUUACCUGCCUCCGGGAUAAGGACAACUUUGUGAAAACGAAGCUAAUACUUAAUAAUACAAAAGAAAAUUAUUUUCUUUUGUCAAAGGGAGGGUAGCAAUACCUUUUGCCUGGAGAGGGGUUUAUGUCCUAUCAGCUUGUUGGUGGGGUAAUGGCCUACCAAGGCGAAGACGGGUAGCCGGUCUUAGAGGAUGGUCGGCCACACUGGGACUGAGACACUGCCCAGACUUCUACGGAAGGCUGCAGUCGAGAAUCUUUCGCAAUGCCCGAAAGGGUGACGAAGCGACGCCGCGUGGGUGAGGAAGGCCUUCGGGUUGUAAAGCCCUGUCAGGAGUUAAGAAAUAUAGGUGCGUUAAUACCGCAUUUAUUUGACGAAGGCUCCAAAGGAAGCCACGGCUAACUCUGUGCCAGCAGCCGCGGUAAUACAGAGGUGGCAAGCGUUGUUCGGAAUUAUUGGGCGUAAAGAGCACGUAGGUGGGUUUGUAAGUCAGGUGUGAAAGCCUUCUGUUCAACGGAAGAAUUGCAUCUGAAACUGCGAGUCUUGAGUGUAGGAGGGGAGAAUGGAACUUCUGGUGGAGCGGUGAAAUGCGUAGAUAUCAGAAGGAACGCCGGCGGCGAAAGCGAUUCUCUGGCCUAUUACUGACACUCAGUGUGCGAAAGCUAGGGGAGCAAACGGGAUUAGAUACCCCGGUAGUCCUAGCCGUAAACGAU
This 769-nucleotide ribosomal RNA is filed under the name uncultured Planctomycetota bacterium. RNAcentral describes it as "bacterial SSU rRNA". It matches the Rfam family "Bacterial small subunit ribosomal RNA", at positions 64 to 810 of the family's 1533-position model. Lineage: Bacteria; Pseudomonadati; Planctomycetota. The record is from RNAcentral.